CGCUGGCGGCAGGCCUAACACAUGCAAGUCGAGCGGCAGCACAGAGGAACUUGUUCCUUGGGUGGCGAGCGGCGGACGGGUGAGUAAUGCCUGGGAAAUUGCCCUGAUGUGGGGGAUAACCAUUGGAAACGAUGGCUAAUACCGCAUGAUGCUUACGGGCCAAAGAGGGGGACCUUCGGGCCUCUCGCGUCAGGAUAUGCCCAGGUGGGAUUAGCUAGUUGGUGAGGUAAUGGCUCACCAAGGCGACGAUCCCUAGCUGGUCUGAGAGGAUGAUCAGCCACACUGGAACUGAGACACGGUCCAGACUCCUACGGGAGGCAGCAGUGGGGAAUAUUGCACAAUGGGCGCAAGCCUGAUGCAGCCAUGCCGCGUGUAUGAAGAAGGCCUUCGGGUUGUAAAGUACUUUCAGUCGUGAGGAAGGUUGUAGUGUGAAUAGCACUAUGAUUUGACGUUAGCGACAGAAGAAGCACCGGCUAACUCCGUGCCAGCAGCCGCGGUAAUACGGAGGGUGCGAGCGUUAAUCGGAAUUACUGGGCGUAAAGCGCAUGCAGGUGGUUUGUUAAGUCAGAUGUGAAAGCCCUGGGCUCAACCUAGGAGUUGCAUUUGAAACUGACAAGCUAGAGUACUGUAGAGGGGGGUAGAAUUUC
RNAcentral lists this ribosomal RNA (647 nucleotides) under Vibrio vulnificus. RNAcentral describes it as "bacterial SSU rRNA". It matches the Rfam family "Bacterial small subunit ribosomal RNA", at positions 34 to 670 of the family's 1533-position model. The record is from RNAcentral. Lineage: Bacteria; Pseudomonadati; Pseudomonadota; Gammaproteobacteria; Vibrionales; Vibrionaceae.